CAGUGGGGAAUAUUGCACAAUGGGCGCAAGCCUGAUGCAGCCAUGCCGCGUGUGUGAAGAAGGCCUUCGGGUUGUAAAGCACUUUCAGUAGGGAGGAAGGUGGUAGUGUUAAUAGCAGUGUCAUUUGACGUUACCUACAGAAGAAGCACCGGCUAACUCCGUGCCAGCAGCCGCGGUAAUACGGAGGGUGCGAGCGUUAAUCGGAAUUACUGGGCGUAAAGCGCAUGCAGGUGGUUUGUUAAGUCAGAUGUGAAAGCCCCGGGCUCAACCUGGGAAUUGCAUUUGAAACUGGCAAACUAGAGUACUGUAGAGGGGGGUAGAAUUUCAGGUGUAGCGGUGAAAUGCGUAGAGAUCUGAAGGAAUACCGGUGGCGAAGGCGGCCCCCUGGACAGAUACUGACACUCAGAUGCGAAAGCGUGGGGAGCAAACAGGAUUAGAUACCCUGGUAGUCCACGCCGUAAACGAUGUCUACUUGGAGGUUGUGGCCUUGAGCCGUGGCUUUCGGAGCUAACGCGUUAAGUAGACCG
This 527-nucleotide ribosomal RNA is filed under the name Vibrio vulnificus. Its description in RNAcentral is "bacterial SSU rRNA". It matches the Rfam family "Bacterial small subunit ribosomal RNA", at positions 352 to 871 of the family's 1533-position model. The record is from RNAcentral. Lineage: Bacteria; Pseudomonadati; Pseudomonadota; Gammaproteobacteria; Vibrionales; Vibrionaceae.